AUGAACUGUCUUGUCUUUAGUGAUGUUUUAUCCCUAGUUUAUUCUUUUGAUCUUGGGAAAUCAAAGAGAUUUGAAAUUGGCAUCCGAUUGGAUCGAUAUCAUGUAAAUGAAUACUACCUCGACACCAGUUUUGAGGUAAAACGUAUCUCUAUGGGGCAUUAUUGUAUCACCAACUUGUGUGAUCACAAGACCAGUGAAGGUUGCAGGGGUACAAUACGAGUAGUAGUGCAAGUAUGGUUGAGCAGUUUUGACAUGUGGAGAAACGAGGAUACUUCAAUGGAAGCUUUCUCCAAGUCUUUUCGUGAAGAAGAUGAUGAAGAAUCUCUCAAUUGGGCUGCUAUUGAGAGAUUGCCUACCUUCUUACGCAUAAGGAGAAGUAUACUCGCUGAUCAGGAGGAGGGUAAAGCCAGAGAAAUUGAUGUCAAGUAUCUUGGGUUACUAGAGAGGAAGAAUUUGUUGGAGAGGUUAGUGAAGAUUGCAGAGGAAGAUAAUGAGAAGUUCCUGUUCAAGCUCAGGGACCGCAUGAAUAGAGUUGGACUUGAAUUUCCAACAACUGAAGUGCAGUUUGAGCAUUUGAAUGUUGAAGCAGAAGCUUAUGUAGGAAGCAGGGCACUACCUACGAUGUUCAACUUCUCCAUUAAUAUGUUAGAGGGGCUCUUGAACUGCAUUCAUCUUCUUCCUAGUAGAAAGAAACCAUUGCCAAUCUUACAUGGUGUAAGUGGAAUAAUCAAGCCAAGAAGAAUGACACUGCUUUUAGGUCCUCCAGGCUCCGGAAAAACCACAUUGCUACUGGCAUUGGCUGGAAAGCUUGGUAAAGAUCUUAAAAGAUCGGGAAGAGUUACAUACAAUGGACUCGGUAUGGAUGAAUUUGUACCACAGAGGACAGCAGCUUACAUUAGUCAAUAUGAUAUUCACAUACCAGAGUUGACUGUUAGAGAAACUCUGGCUUUUUCAGCAAGAUGUCAAGGGGUCGGACCACGUUAUGAAAUGUUAGUAGAACUAUUAAGAAGGGAAAAGGCUGCAAAUAUUCUGCCAGAUUCAGAUCUUGAUGUCUACAUGAAGGCAGCAGCACUGGAAGGACAGGAAACCACUGUGAUUACUGAUUAUAUACUCAAGGUUUUGGGACUUGAAGUUUGCGCUGACACCAUGGUAGGCGAUCAAAUGAGACGAGGCAUAUCUGGUGGCCAAAGAAAGCGACUCACCACAGGGGAAAUGCUUGUUGGGCCAGCAAAGAGCACUUUUUAUGGAUGAGAUAUCAACUGGCUUGGACAGUUCAACAACAUUUCAGAUAGUAAAUUCAUUGAGACAGUCCAUUCACAUUCUCAAUGGAACUGCUGUAAUCUCUCUCCUGCAGCCCGCACCAGAAACUUAUGAUCUCUUUGAUGAUAUAAUUCUCCUCUCAGAUGGGCAUAUUGUGUAUCAAGGUCCUCGUGAAAAUGUGCUUGAGUUCUUCCAGUACAUAGGCUUCCAAUGUCCCGAGAGGAAAGGAGUCGCUGAUUUCCUCCAAGAAGUGACAUCGUGGAAAGAUCAGGAGCAAUAUUGGAGCAAUAAAGAUAAGCCUUAUAGCUUUGUCACGUCCAAGGAAUUUUCUGAAGCAUUGCAGUCAUUUCACAUUGGUCAAAAACUCGGUGUUGAGCUUACUAGACCUUUUGACAAGUCUCGAGGAAACCCUGCGUCUUUGACUACUGAGAAGUAUGGUGUUAGCAAGAACGAACUUUUUAAAGCUUGUAUGUCUAGACAUUAUUUGCUUAUGAAGAGGAACUCGAUUGUCUACAUUACCAGAAUGACAAUGUUCCUUAUAACUGCUUUUGUGACAAUGACACUAUUCCUACGGACUGAGAUGCACCGGGAUACUGUAGAUGAUGGUGGCAUAUAUAUGGGAGCUAUGUUCUUCACAAUGGUGGUGAUUAUGUUCAAUGGAUUCUCAGAGCUUGCUAUGACGAUCAUGAAACUUCCUGUGUUUUUCAAGCAAAGAGACCUGCUUUUCUAUCCUGCUUGGGCAGACUCUUUACCAACCAUGAUUAUAAGAAUCCCCAUGACCUUUGUGGAAGUUUCCAUUUGGAUGGCCAUCACUUACUACGGUAUUGGUUAUGAUCCAAGCAUUGAAAGAUUCUGCAAGCAGUUCCUUUUACUCGUAUGCAUUAGCCAGAUGGCAACUGGACUGUUCCGUUUGAUAGGCGCAUUAGGAAGGGACAUGAUGGUUGCAUACACAUUGGGAUCUGUUGCCUUACUAUGCGGUUUUGUUCUGGGUGGCUUUUUGUUAUCACGAGAGGAGAUGAAGAAUUGGUUGCUGUGGGGAUAUUGGCUCUCACCGAUGACGUAUGGAAUGAAUGCAAUGGCUGUCAAUGAAUUUUUUGGAAAGAGUUGGAGACGUGUUCCCCCCAACUCAACAGAAUCGUUGGGAGUUAUGGUCUUAAAGGCUCGAGGGGUAUCACCAGAAGCAAGUUGGUACUGGAUUGGUGUAGUAGCUUUAAUUGGAUUUGUUGUUAUGUUCAACUUCCUGUACACUCUGGCACUUCAGCUUCUCGAACCACUUGAUAAGCCUCAGGCAGUAUUGUCUAAAGAUGUCUGGGCAAUGAAACACGCUGUGAAAACUGGAGAGAGCAUUGAGCUAUCGGCAACAAGAAAGAACUCUACAGGUGGAUUCAUAAAUGCAGGAGUAGGGAAAGAAGUUCUAGAGAACAUGUCAGCCAAUCGUUCCUUCAAGCAGCGAGGAAUGAUUCUUCCUUUCCAACCACUCUCGAUCACAUUUUCUGAAAUCAGAUAUGCAAUUGACAUGCCACUGGAAAUGAAAGCUCAAGGCAUUACUGAGGAUCGACUAGAACUUCUGAAGGGUGUGAGUGGUUCUUUCAGGCCUGGGGUCCUAACAGCUUUAAUGGGUGUCAGUGGAGCUGGAAAGACUACUUUAAUGGAUGUUCUGGCAGGAAGGAAAACCGGUGGAUAUACUGAAGGAAACAUUACCAUUUCUGGAUAUCCAAAAAACCAAGAAACCUUUGCUCGCAUAUCAGGAUAUUGUGAGCAAACAGAUAUACACUCUCCACAUGUUACGGUUUAUGAGUCCUUGGUUUUUUCUGCAUGGUCUUCGGUUGUCCCCUGAGGUUGAUUCCCUAAACCAGUAAAGAUGUUAUUGNGGGAAGUUCAUGGAAACUUGUGGGAACUGACCCCGAUAACGAGAUGCACUUGUUGGAUUGCUGGAGGUAUGGUCUUUCAACUUGAGCAGCGUAAAAGGCUCACGAUUGCAGUGGAGCUUGUUGCCAAUCCAUCCAUAGUAUUCAUGGAUGAGCCUACCUCUGGCCUUGAUGCCAGGGCAGCAGCAAUUGUAAUGAGAACAGUGAGGAAUACAGUGGACACCGGAAGAACUGUUGUCUGCACCAUCCAUCAGCCAAGUAUUGAUAUAGUUGAUGCUUUUGAUGAGAUGUUCCUUCUGAAAUGGGGUGGUGAGGCAAUAUAUGUUGGCCCCUUAGGCUACCAUUCUUCUGACUUGAUCAAAUACUUUGAGGGAAUUAGCGGGGUUUCUAAGAUGAAGAAUGGUUACAAUCCUGCAACUUGGAUGUUGGAGGUUACUUCUGCAGUCCAAGAAGCUGCUCUGGGGAUUAAUUUCACAGACAUAUACAAGGAAUCGGAAGCAUACAGGAGAAACAAGGCCUUGAUCAACGAACUAAGUACGCCUCCACAAAAUUCAAAAGACCUGUACUUCCCAACAAAAUACUCGCAAUCUUUUUAUACCCAGUGCAAAGCGUGCCUGUGGAAGCAACAUUUGUCUUACUGGAGAAACCCGCCAUACAGUGCAGUUAGACUUCUUUCCACAACAUUGAUAGCUUUAGUAUCCGGGACAUUAUUCUGGGGUCUUGGUUCCAGAAGGCAAAAGAAGCAAGAUCUUUUUAACGCAAUGGGUGCUAUGUAUUCUGCUGUUCUGUUCAUUGGGCCACGAAAUGCCUCAACAGUGCAGCCAGUUGUAGGCAUUGAGCGAAUAGUCUUUUAUAGAGAAAGAGCUGCCGGAAUGUACUCUGCCUUGCCGUAUGCCUUAGGACAGCUUGGCGUUGAGCUCCCAUACACUUUGAUCCAAGCCAUCAUAUAUGUGGUUAUAGUGUACAGCAUGAUCGGAUUUGAGUGGACGGUCAGCAAGUUCUUUUGGCAACUAUUCUUCAUGUUCUUCACUUACCUAUACUAUACUCUGUAUGGCAUGAUGAGUGUGGUCAUCACUCCCAACCUUGCCGUUUCCGCUGUAGUUUCCACGGCAUUGAACCCACUGUGGAACGUUUUUUCAGGAUAUAUCAUUCCCAAAUCAAGAAUUCCAAUAUGGUGGAGAUGGUUCUACUGGUCAUGCCCGGUCUCUUGGAGCUUGUACGGAUUGAUUGGUUCACAGUUCGCAGGCAUUGAGGACAGGCUUGAUUCCGGCGAAACCGUGGAAGCUUUUACCAGGAGUUAUUUUGGGUACAGAGAAGACUUUCUCAAUGUUGUUGCGAUAGUGCUUGUAGCUAUUUCAGUGCUCUUUGGAUCCGUCUUUGCUUUUUCAAUCAAAGCCUUUAAUUUUCAGAAGAGAUGAAAAGGUGGUAUAUAAUCUGUAUUCCUUGUAAUGCAAAUGAUGCUUGAUUUUAUCUAAUCGAAGUGUUGCUCAAGUCUAUCAUCGAUCACAACAUUACUUAGGGAGUACAUGACUGCAUUACAGCAUAUUUUUCCUUACUGUGAAUAGGCUAACCAUAUUCAAUUAGACCUAUUGGCCAAGAAAUUGUUUAGUAGAAACGUGAUUAAUAAGAUAAGAAUUGG
Fragaria vesca subsp. vesca is the source of this 4767-nucleotide RNA transcript. It is a transcript of the gene named pleiotropic drug resistance protein 1-like, with no coding region annotated. The record is from RefSeq and is a predicted model, not a curated record. Lineage: Eukaryota; Viridiplantae; Streptophyta; Magnoliopsida; Rosales; Rosaceae. The transcript is spliced from 25 exons.